UAGAGGCUAAAUAAAAGUGUUCCUUCUACCCUAAACCAUGUUGGUUUUUUUUCUAUAGAAAAAACAGCUCCAAAGAAGCAGCUGAAAGAGCGCAAAGCUCCCAUCAGUUU
This 110-nucleotide long non-coding RNA is filed under the name Phascolarctos cinereus (koala). RNAcentral's name for it is "lncRNA (ENSPCIG00000023943.2)". Lineage: Eukaryota; Metazoa; Chordata; Mammalia; Diprotodontia; Phascolarctidae. The record is from RNAcentral.